UUACGGUCACAUCACGUUGAAACACCGGUUCUCCUACGAUCACCGAAGUUAAGCAACGUAGAGCCUGGACAGUAUCUAGAUGGGUAGCCGUUUAGGAAUACCAG
This is a non-coding RNA of Acanthosepion pharaonis, 104 nucleotides long. The record is from the annotation of a GenBank genome assembly. Lineage: Eukaryota; Metazoa; Mollusca; Cephalopoda; Sepiida; Sepiidae.